UAAAGGGGGGGCGGGGGACGACAGCGCACGUAUUAAGGAAACGCAUGCGCAGUCUCUGUCGGCCUCGUGAGCGGCCGCCGCUCGUCGCAGUUGCGCUGCAGCGCCGCCACAAGACUGAGGAAGGAACUGCAUAGCAUAGCAAAAAAGAAAAAAGGCGUAAGAAUGUGGAUUGUAUCAGGAAAGGUUCAGCAAGAUAAAAGGGGCAUUGGGUUGCUUUCACUGGCUUUCUUAAUCCUAAAGAACUUUGAGAAGAGAGCAAGUGAAAAUUAUUCCAAGAGAAAAGGAGUAUGAUUGAAUUGUAAUACUUUUUACCCAAAGAAGAUGGACAAUAAUUGCAUUUUCAAGCUCCUAAAUGUAAUCUUUUGUCUAUCUAAUCUUGGAGAACAAGUGGGAUGAGGCAUGUCCCUAUGUGCCGAGAGAGAAGAUUAGCCACAUGGUGAUCCUAUGCCACCAGGAAGCACAUCAUAAACAGGAUGGCAUCACUGCUGUACUACAUACCUCAUCGGAUUAAACUGCACAAUUGCACCAUGACAAUCAGAUGAAAUCAGUUCAGAGAAGGGAGCAAGGAAGAGCGAGCAAACAGUGAUGAAAAAUUACAGGAAAAGGCAGGUGUUUUUUUGAUAUGGCAGAAGGAAUUUGGGUCAUUUCAGAUCAGAGCUUAUAGUUUCUAUCUAGUAGUCAUAUCUUGGUUGUCAAAUGCUUUGGUACUUGUACAUUUCAGCUCCCGAAAGAUCGAAAUCUGGAAGUGAGUGUUCGGGUUUUCUAACUUUUUUUGGAAGCCGAAUGUCCCAUGCGGCUUCCACUAUUGAUUCCGGUGCACCUGUGCAAUUGGAAGCCAAUCGGAAGCCACGCCUUGGUUUCCAAAUGUUUUGGAAGUCGAACAGACUUCCGGAAUGCAUUCUCUUUGAAAACCAAGGUACGACUGUAUA
Long non-coding RNA from Podarcis raffonei (Aeolian wall lizard), 929 nucleotides. RefSeq lists it as uncharacterized. Lineage: Eukaryota; Metazoa; Chordata; Lepidosauria; Squamata; Lacertidae. The record is from RefSeq and is a predicted model, not a curated record. The transcript is spliced from 4 exons.